Molecule: ribosomal RNA, 301 nt
Filed under: uncultured bacterium
Lineage: Bacteria
Description: partial 16S ribosomal RNA
Rfam family: Bacterial small subunit ribosomal RNA
Source: RNAcentral
CAGUCGCCGCGGUAAUACGUAGGGUGCAAGCGUUAAUCGGAAUUACUGGGCGUAAAGCGUGCGCAGGCGGUUUGUUAAGACAGAUGUGAAAUCCCCGGGCUCAACCUGGGAACUGCAUUUGUGACUGGCAGGCUAGAGUAUGGCAGAGGGGGGUGGAAUUCCGCGUGUAGCAGUGAAAUGCGUAGAUAUGCGGAGGAACACCGAUGGCGAAGGCAGCCCCCUGGUCCAAUACUGACGCUCAUGCACGAAAGCGUGGGGAGCAAACAGGAUUAGAUACCCGCGUAGUCCCUGUCUCUUAUAC